UGAUUGAGGAGAUUCAUAGUCAGAUUAUUCAGUAUUAAGGCAGGCUAUGAUGUGAUAAUAGAAUCCUUGUGGUCACUAGAUUAUACUUGCUUGUAUUAUUUGCGCUGGGUACGUAGGCGGGCAUUUCUCCUUUAGUGGAACGUGGCAACCCGUCGGAUGUUAACCUAUGGCGUGAAUGGUAGCCCAUGAUAGUUCUUAUAUUAAAGACGUCCGAUGUCCUGAUAAACUUUUUGACGGUAUACAUAUGGUAAGAGCCGCAAUUCCAGCGUUAGACAGCCGCAAGUAAGACUUUAUUAGAGUAGUGCGGAUCCAAUGCCGUCGCUGGACAAAGU
Molecule: ribosomal RNA, 332 nt
Filed under: Cotesia sp. HD-103
Lineage: Eukaryota; Metazoa; Arthropoda; Insecta; Hymenoptera; Braconidae
Description: partial 28S ribosomal RNA
Source: RNAcentral